This 3963-nucleotide long non-coding RNA is filed under the name Crocodylus porosus (Australian saltwater crocodile). Its description in RNAcentral is "lncRNA (ENSCPRG00005005492.1)". The record is from RNAcentral. Lineage: Eukaryota; Metazoa; Chordata; Crocodylia; Crocodylidae.
CGUAUGUGGCCACGGUGGGGAGAUGUUUGUUGCUGGGCAGCUGCUUGUUCUGUCUUGGGGCUCAAACGUUUAGUGCUUGGGGAUGCCAGAGCUGGAUGUUAUCGCAGGGACUGAACAGAAAGGAAAAGCUCCAGUGAACAGAAGCUUUGAUCCUCGAUAGUAUUGGACAAUACGAAUGCUCAUCUCCCCAGGCCAGUCACAUCAAUACUAUAUCCAGGAAGAGGAAACGUGUGAAGUCCUCGUGCCUCCCAUCAGGGCCAAGCUGAAGCGGGUCCCUCCUCCCAGGCUGUGACAUUUCCUCUUUCUCUCCAGGGAGGGGGAAGGGAGAAGUCCCCAAGGAGGACGAGGGGAUGGAGAGAUGACAAAGCGGCAGGGGGUGAAAGGGCUCGCAGGAGGAGCACAGGAGACGAUGUGCAAGGCCACGCAGGAAGCUCUGGCUGGGCGAGAGGAAGGCCCGGGUUAACAGCAGGACCACACGCGGUUGGGAGGAGAUUCAGCAGCAGUUCCCUGUUCCCUGUCCCGAGGUGGCCAGCCUCUCUUGAGGGCUGUGGUUUCAAAGGCUCCUCCAACCCUGACAAGCCUUUAUCCAGCUUCGUAUCCCAGGAGGCCAGCUGUUGCACCAUGAAACUUCGGUCUCCUCUCCACACGGGUGCUUUGGACUCGAGACGCGCAGGGAUACCGGAGUGCAUGCAUCCAUGCAGGCUGUUGCUUUUAGAAAUGAAAAGUGCUGAGAGCUGUUGUGCCAAGACUUCAGAGUUUCAGCUGCUUGCAUCAUCCUUCGUCGCAGUCCAGGACUAACCAUAAAGUGGUCUGUGACUGGUGGGAGCCAAGUUUGGGCUUCUCCUUGCUGCCUGUUAUCACUGUAACUUGGCAAAGGCUUUUGGCUUUUGGUUACGUCUGUGACUUCUCUUCUCAAAAUUUCUUGGCUCUUUCAGCUCAUCUGUUUCUUGUUCACUUUUUGGUACGGUUCCGCUGAUGGUGGCUGCCAUGAGAUCCAGGGUGGGCAAGACUAGCCAGCACACAGUCUGAGGGACCUCUGCGCGCGAGGGCUCAGCCGUUCACUUCAACAGGAGUAGGGCCUGGCCCAGCGGUACCUGUUUAGCCCAGUGUAAAGAGGCAGCCUGCAGCACAGCCGUGCGUUAAUCCUAACAAAGUAUGAUGGGAUUUAAUUUCUUUGCGAAAGCUGCUGUGUAUCAACUGUUCUCAAGUCUAUCUUUCCUUUACUCACACACUCAUCUGAUCUCUCUAACACCGUACUGUUUUCCCCUGCUUAGUGCUCUAGGAGAGUUUCCCCAUCUGCAGAGUAAUGCAGAGCUCGGACAUUUUCUGUCUGUAGCCUUGCUCUUGAGGGAAGAGUCAUUGCUACGUCCUUUGAAUGUGCAGUAUCUGCAGUGCCGAAAAAGGUAAGAGCUAGAAAGUCACUUGUACUUCAUCAUCCUUGUAUCUCAUAGGAGCAGGAGCUGACUUGGAUGAGCUUGUAAGGCCUUGUGUUGGAACAGAUCCUGUUCUGUUAACCCCAUUGCUUCCGUUGCUUUUUUCUUCUUUCUGACAGCACUUUUCAUCAUGUACCAUCUCUUUCCAUGCAUAUUGCCCAACGAAGCACCUCAUGGUUUCCCAUGUCUUUAGUAACACACCAGAGGCCUCUGAAGUGAGCAUUCAGAUCUGCAAGGCUCAUGUGAGGUCCCCAGCUGUGGAUCAACAGCUGUCAUUGCAGGUCUGCUCUGGGCCAAGGAACAUUUUGCAAAAUACAUUCAUAUUCCUAGCAGCAAAACGGCAAAUGCCAGGUGGGAGGCCAGGGCUUCAAAAGCUUGUGUUGUCUUCACGAGGAUGUCUGUGAGGGCUGGUGUGCCCUGGUUGGAGAGACCCACCUUGCUGCUGAAUGGUGACCUUGGUGCUCUCUUUUCAAAAGCAUGACUGCUUGGUUUGCUGGCUUGUCUGCUGGGCUGUUGUGCAGAUGUUUAUUUGCGUGAAGCCCAGGGUCUGUGUCCAUUCAUAGCUAUUCUGGCAGUUUCUUCUGCUAGAUAAAAAUUAAUUCACCACUGAACAACUAUUGAUGCUUUGGCCAGAGUAAGGAAAGAGGUCAUCGACCUCGGGCAGCCUGAUGGUGCUAUAUCCACGGAUGGAGGGAUGGCAGCAGCAGGUCAGGUUUCCUGUCUGUAGCCUGCACCCAUUCGUUCCUUGCCUUCACUGCCGAGUCUGCCAAGGACGUUCCCAUCAGCGCUGCUUGUGCUGGCCCGAGGUGCCCUCUCCUGCCUACGUCUCUGCCUCUCUCUCGCUCUUGUGAUUUUUUAACAGGAAGAUUCCCAUGUACACGGGGGGGGGGACCCUUUAAAGCAUUACAGAAAGGUGCGCUACAGGCCUGCUCUCUCGCUAUGCUGAGACUAUGCACCGUGUGCUGGGAAGCAGGGACCAGGCAGGUUGGAGGAUGGGUUUUGAUCCACUUCAAUGCAGAAGCUGGAAAGUGCAUUCAACCACCACUCUCUCCGUCUCCCCACCCCCCAUCCUGCACCUGGUGCCUGCGACUUUCCCUUUGCACAAGGAGACCCUUGCAGUUGUCUUCUCUGGGAAGGAGGCUUCAUUGUCUGGUACAACUAGACUCCCCUUGAAGCCAAACACUUCCGUGUUUUAAAGGCACCGGAGACCUGCCUUCGGGAGGCCUUGAAACCCUGGAGUAUGUGACAGUCUUUGUUUCUGCCUUCCCCUUGCCAGUGGUAUGGUGCAGGAAGGGCUCUGCCUCAGAGAAGCGUAAAGUUUGGGCUUUUCCACUUGGAACUGCGAUGCGUUAAACCUCACCAGCAACUCGCCUUGCAUUUGCUGUCCCACAAGGGACUUGGGACACCAAAGAGAGAAGCAAAUGCAGACUCUUGUACACCUCUGACAGCCUUGACCUAUUGCUCUGCCGUCAUGAAAGGGCUCACGAGGGAGGGUGGGAGUACAUGCAUCCUUGCUGGUCAUGAGGCUGAUCACCAGCGUGCCGAGCGAUUGUCCCGCAGGGCUCUCAACUGUCCAUUCGCUCUUGUGUCUUGUUUAAUUUACAGCAGUUUUGUAAGUUGAAUGAAGAAAACUGGCACCUUGCAGGGCAGGCGUCCAAACUGAGGAGGGAGAGGGUGUGGGAUGAACGGCUGGUAACCGGUUGCUGCAGUCACCGAGUCCUAACCGACAGCCCCCGGGGAUGGAGAAGCAGGCAGCUGUGCACUCCUGUUCCUGUAAGCACACGAUGUAGAAGAGCCAGCUCAUCUGUGACGCGAAUGUCCCGUGCUUAGCCUCUGCCCGAGGUGAAUAUGUACAUUUUUAAGUUUGGACAAAAGUUCCAUUAGCCGCGGGCAUGUUCCCUAUUGUGAAUGCAGGGCAUGCUUCCAGGAAUAGAAACCCUGCAACAGUGUGCUCACAGCUAUCUCCAAAGCGUCUGAAGUUCGAAAUUGGCGUGGAAAUAGUCCUGCCUGAGUGUGCAGGACCAAAUGGGAGGAAGGUUGGAUGGGUAAUGACAUAAAGAUUUGUGUUGAGGGAGGUCUUGGAGUCUGGGGCGUAGGUGGCUGCGAGCCCUUUGUCCGGUUUCUGCUCUCCUGUCUGCCGCGCUGAUCCCUUCCUGACAGCUGCCUGCGCUGCUCUUUCCACGGGGAAAGAACGAUUGGUUGUUACUCUGCUGUAUAUGUUUUUUUAAAUGAAUGCUUAGCAGUGAGAGAGCUCUUUGUUUCUUCAAAGGGUUCAGCGAUGAAUAGCUGAUAUUUCCUUAGUUCUUUUAUCCUUAAGGACCUCAAAGCACCAGAGCCACAGACAGUGUAGAAUAGAGGCAAUUUUUAUUAGGAAAAUCACAUUUUGUUGCAGCAGUCCUGCUGUUUCUGUUCACGAGACCAGUUUAUAUAUUUAUUUAUUAGCUUUCAGGUGCCAAAAACGCUCAGGGCAGCUUAUAGGAACAGACAAAUAAUUUAUUAAAUGAGAAUAAAAUAUUAAAAUAUUGUCCCA